CACAUCCAGAGGAUUGUGCUCAUUUCUAGGAAGGACAUCAAUAGACUACAGAACGUCCAUAAUUGGGCAACCAGGAUGGAGAAGCUAGGUAAAGCCAUGAUACACAGAACAUUGGACCUGGAAUCCAGAGGACUCGAAUCUUGCCUCUGACACUCAAGGAACAUGUGUAGUUACAUGCAAGGUAUACAUUACAUAGGCCUACAAGAAUUUGGCCCAGCUGGGUGGAAUUGGCCUUAGUGUGCAAAAGAAUGCUAUGUGCCCCAUCAAAAUACUGUAAUUUGCUCACCCCUCCAAUCGCAAUGUUGCUAUCAAAAUUCCAUUAUAAUAAGAGGCUGAAGAUUAUUCAUAUGUACACACAAAACUAAAGCCAAAUCCAAGAAAAGGCCAACAAGGAAUUGAAAAAUCUCUACCAAGUUCCUGAAAGGCCAUUGGAAGAGAGGCUGACAGACAUCAUCAUGCAGGGCAAUCUGAAUGACAUCA
Long non-coding RNA from Trichosurus vulpecula (common brushtail), 480 nucleotides. RefSeq lists it as uncharacterized. NCBI's taxonomy places the organism in Eukaryota, Metazoa, Chordata, Mammalia, Diprotodontia, Phalangeridae. The transcript is spliced from 3 exons. The record is from RefSeq and is a predicted model, not a curated record.